GGAAGGGACUGUGGCUCCAUGGUAAAGCAUCUGCUUGUCAUAUGCGGAGGGCCUCAGGUUCAAUCCCCAGCUUCUCCA
This 78-nucleotide transfer RNA is filed under the name Sphaerodactylus townsendi. RNAcentral describes it as "tRNA-Asp". The record is from RNAcentral. Lineage: Eukaryota; Metazoa; Chordata; Lepidosauria; Squamata; Sphaerodactylidae.